Molecule: long non-coding RNA, 572 nt
Organism: Bombus huntii
Lineage: Eukaryota; Metazoa; Arthropoda; Insecta; Hymenoptera; Apidae
Exons: 4
Source: RefSeq, a predicted model, not a curated record
AUCGUUCUUGAAUCGUAAUCUCUCAGAGUGACCGUAGCUUUUACACGGUUUACACAGCUCGUGAACGCUGUAUUAUGUGUUGUUAAGCUUUGUUUUAUUUCAGUUCACACGCUGAAGAGUUAGGAGGUGUGAAUCCUAUAGUCUCGCGGGUGUCGUAGCGGACAGUUGUUGUGUUUAUCGUCGACGUGUUAGGCAGAUAAACGCUUUCUGCCAAUAAAUCGUCGAAUAAUUGUCCAGCAACGCAGUUUUUUUUAUACCAUCUGGAAUUCACCAAUAGUGUUGAUCGAGUCGUGGAUCUGGUUUGACGCGAUAGACCAUUUCAUAAGUAGAGGCUGUUUCAGAGGAGGUGAACAUAAAAUUUGAAACUGAGUUCAGUAUACAGAAAUUGAACAGACACAUUUCAAGGUUAUUUCACUAAAAGCGGUCGGCAAUUUGUACAUUAAAGACAGUCAAUUACGCUCCAUACUAAAGGAAGAUUCCUAAUUGAGAAGGUCUAAGAAGAUACCACAAGAAAGAUGUUGCGAUUUUCUCGCUUUUUCCUUGCUGUCUUCAUGCUCGUUGCACUGAUGCAU